Long non-coding RNA from Girardinichthys multiradiatus, 3104 nucleotides. RefSeq lists it as uncharacterized. NCBI's taxonomy places the organism in Eukaryota, Metazoa, Chordata, Actinopteri, Cyprinodontiformes, Goodeidae. The transcript is spliced from 3 exons. The record is from RefSeq and is a predicted model, not a curated record.
UCAGUUCAUUUCAGUCAUUAUUCUGCUGUCAACUUUAGCCUCUUUCUGCCAGCUUUUAGCAGAGGUGUUUAGCAUUUCUGUCAGAUCCUGGUCAUCUUUUGCCUGCUACUAACCUUUUUCCACCAGUAGGAGCCGUAGGAGCUGAAGGAUCAGGGUGGUCAGGUGUUUUGCAUGUUGUCAUCAGCUGGAGGACUAUAAGAGGGAGGCGAGCCAGUACUUCGAUGCCUGAGUGUUUUGCCUCUUCGUGGUUAUCCAAGUCUUGCUCCAAACUAAGAGACCUCUCAGGAGAACCGUCUAACAGUGCGUGGACUCUGGAUCUCUUGUUUCCCUGCUGGCUGCCGGAUCGGACGAUUCCUCACAGCUUCAGGCGAACCGUGUCCACCCUCCUCCGUUCCUCCCAAGACUGCCCAGCUCCUGCGGCUCAGCGUAGCCCGCUGCCUCCUCCAGGAUCACAAUCCCUCUCCCUGGUGGACCAACCCCAACCUGACCGUAAGCUCCCUUGCAGAGUACAGUUUAAGGGUUUCAGUUGUGGUGUCUUACCUGCGUCCGUUUCCUUGCAGCCGCUCAGCAGAUUCUGUUUCCAGUACCUGGUCCUGAAAAUAAAGCUCCUGAAACGCUUCUCUGUUUCUCGUGUUUUUCUGCAUGUGGGUCAAGUCGGCCAUCUCCAAUAUGACAAUUUCUGUUUUUUGCUAAUUCAUUACAUUUCAGAAGAUUUUCUGCAGUCAACUUCAGCAGUCAACUUGUUUCUGCUAUAGAAUUCAGCUAUAGAAUUCAGCUUAUAGCAUUGACACUGAAUUUUCUAGUUGAAUUAGAUGUUCUUGUGUGUUUCCCAUUUUGAAAGGUGGCAAAUAGGAAUUGACCUUUGUGGUGCAUCAUUUUAAAUCUUACCUGAAAAUUAUGGAUAACAUUUUAAUAAUCUUAAAACACAAAACAAUUUGAAACAGAUAAAUAUAAAUUAAUAAAUGGAUACAGUCUGACAAUGAUCAAGCUAUUAAGAAAUUAUUAGUACGAGACUAAUUAUUUUGUCAUGACUACAAGGGGUGCGAAUAAUUGUGAAGAGCAGUGUGCUUAGGUAAAUUAGCUCUGGCUUAGGUGCAAUCAGCAAAGUCUUUCUCAAAUAACACUUUACAGAAGCCUUUUCUUAAAGCAGAUUUAUUUUACAGAAUCACAAAGAUGCACUUAGGGAAUUUGUGUAAACAUGAAUUUCUCGCUCAGAAUCUCAAGGAUGUUUAAAUUUAUGAAUAAGAAAUUAAUGAUCUAUAAGUUAUAAAAACAUGUAAUUAAAUUGAAUUUUAAUAAAGCAUAUCUGCAGAUGACAAGUUAACUAAGAUAGUAAAUACAGACAAUAUUUCAUAAAUAAAAAUAUUUUAAAUGUAUAUUUGAAUAGUGUUAAACAAUUAACUACAACACAAUCAAUAAAUAAUGUUACUAAAAAGAAUAAAAAAGAAGCUAAAAACACGUCUUUCUCUUUUGUGAUCAAUCUACUGUAUGUUUUUUUUGAAUGGAUUACAUGCAUACCCAAUUUGCAGAUAAAAGGAGACAUUUGAGAAUAUUUUUAAUGUACUGGUAAUAUAUUGCUUCUGAUUAUUUGAAAUUUUUUACAGAAUGACAACAAAGAGUAAAAGCAAGAGAUGAAGCAUGCCCAGUCUGACACUAGUAGCGCUACUAGUGGUUGUUGAAGUGGUGGCUGACUGUGCUGCUGAGGUUAUGUUUGCAGUUGCAGUUGCCGUUGUUGAUGUUGAUUUGCUUGGGGCUGAUGUUGUCGGAAGUGUUGUUGAAACUGUGGCUGACUGUGCUGCUGAGGUCAUAGUGGGUGCGGUUACAGUUGUUAAUUUGCUUGGAGCUGCAUGUUCUGUAGCUGUGGGAGUCGAAACAAUUAUUGUUGUUUGGGUUCUUAUUGUGGCUGGUGGAGAAGACAAUGAAAUGGUUGGUGCUACAAUUGGGGCAGAUGGAGUAGUGGUGGUAAGUACUGAGGUCUUUAUUUUUAAAACCAGACGCCUUCUAUCCUGUUAGUUUCCUGAUCUGUUGGUGAUCAGCUUUUAUAGCAGCAACCACUGCUUCCCACACACUAUUCAACUGGAUAUACAAAUACCGUCACGUUGAGGACUAUGGGGAUGAAACACCUUGGCUGAGGUGAAACACAACGUACAGGAGGUGGAGGCAAUGGGGGGAACUUGGAAUUACAACUACCUCAGCUUUGCAUCAUUACACUCCAUUGCUGUAUUUUCAAAGUUGAGUAUUUUGACCCAUUGCAUUUCAGAAAAUAAAGAGUAUGUCAUAAAUAACUGUACACCUUUUAUGUAAAGAUCACAUGGUUUGCUAUAGUUAGCCCAACUCUUAUCCUAAGUCUUUUUCAAAAGUUCAACAAUGCAACUCCUGACAGUUUUUGUGUGCACAACUCUGAUGAAAACAGUCAGGAGUUUGUGCUGCUGAUAUCAUUCCUCGAUCAAAGACUGGCACCCUAUCUCCAGCCUCGGUUUCCAGUAUGUGAGUCUUCCUUCAUUGUAUCAAUAAACUUUGUUAUUUCAAGAAUUAUGUGCCUUCUUUGUGAUCUUUUUCAGCAUAAAGGUAUCUAAAAAUGUUUUAGUGACUGAUAAUUGUUUUCAAAUUGGUAAAGGAGGUGUCCACAUAUCAUCAACCAACUGUAUCCUGGUGGCUAUUACUGACCUGUGGACGAAAACCAAUGUAUUGGUGCAAGUUUUCCCUUUCUGUGACCAAUGUAAUAAUGACCAAUUACUCUUCAAUCUGGAGUGGCACCAAGGAGUGGAGGAUCUGGGUGGAUUACGACAACACCAGGAGAUGCUUCUACAUUAAUCAACUCCUAAUCAAAAUAAGCAAUUGUAAUGAUUUUGUGUUGACCUGCUUCUUGAAACUGGACAGUUGAUGUGAUAUAGAACUAAAUGAUGGAAAUCUGUUUUUAUAAACCAGGAAGAGGGAAGGAAUGAUGAAGGAUGUCAAUAACUUAUCAUUUUCCUGAGCAGCAAACUAGUAAAAUAGAAUGAAGCUCUUCAGGAUGUCAGGUUUCUGUCACCAUGGCUACGCCAAAUGACCCUUCAUUAGUCAUUGCUGAGAUGUUGGGCGUCAAUAAAGGAUUCUGUCCUGAU